Molecule: ribosomal RNA, 408 nt
Filed under: uncultured bacterium
Lineage: Bacteria
Description: partial 16S ribosomal RNA
Rfam family: Bacterial small subunit ribosomal RNA
Source: RNAcentral
GACGAACGCUGGCGGCGUGCUUAACACAUGCAAGUCGAACGAAGUGGCGACCGGGUGAGUAACGCGUAAUCAACCUGCCCUUCAGAGGGGGACAACAGGUGGAAACGACUGCUAAUACCGCAUACUGAAGGAGGGGAUUGCGUCUGAUUAGCUAGUUGGAGGGGUAACGGCCGACCAGGGCGAAGAUCAGUAGCCGGGCUGAGAGGAUGAACGGGCAAAUUGGGAGUGGGACACGGCCCAGAAUCCUACGGGAGGCAGCAGUGGGGAAUCUUCCGCAAUGGACGAAAGUCUGACGGAGCAACGCCGCGUGAGGGGUGACGGCCUUCGGGUUGUAAAGCUCUGUUAAUCGGGACGCGGUACCGGAAGAGAAAGCCACGGCUAACUACGUGCCAGCAGCCGCGGUAAUUC